This 376-nucleotide ribosomal RNA is filed under the name uncultured bacterium. Its description in RNAcentral is "bacterial SSU rRNA". It matches the Rfam family "Bacterial small subunit ribosomal RNA", at positions 521 to 896 of the family's 1533-position model. The record is from RNAcentral.
UAAUACGAAGGGGGCUAGCGUUGUUCGGAAUUACUGGGCGUAAAGCGCGCGCAGGCGGCCAAGCAAGUCAGAGGUGAAAGCCCGGAGCUCAACUCCGGAAUUGCCCCUGAGACUGCUGGGCUUCGAGUACGGGAGAGGUGAGUGGAAUUCCGAGUGUAGAGGUGAAAUUCGUAGAUAUUCGGAAGAACACCGGUGGCGAAGGCGGCUCACUGGCCCGUUACUGACGCUCAGGCGCGACAGCGUGGGGAGCAAACAGGAUUAGAUACCCUGGUAGUCCACGCCGUAAACUAUGGAUGCCAGCCGUUGGCAAGCAUGCUUGUCAGUGGCGCAGCUAACGCAUUAAGCAUCCCGCCUGGGGAGUACGGCCGCAAGGUUG